This 2292-nucleotide long non-coding RNA is filed under the name Homo sapiens (human). Its description in RNAcentral is "HSALNT0312620". The record is from RNAcentral. Lineage: Eukaryota; Metazoa; Chordata; Mammalia; Primates; Hominidae.
ACUCUCGCAGUACCUCCGCCUUCAGGAAGGUCUUUUUAGCAGGGGCCUUACAGGUGCACGCUUCGGUCCUGGAGGCCUUAUCCUAACCUCUCCAUCAGCGCCACCCGUCUGGGGCCCGAAAGGAGGGAGCUUUCCCUCUGUCCUCCAGCCUUUGGACUGUCUCCAAACAAGCCAUUCGUUCACCAAAUACUUAUUAAGCACCUACCAUGUGCCUGACAAGGGAGAUGUAACGGUGAGAAAGACUAGGUGUGGUCUGGGCCCUCCAGAGGCUCAGGGGCUCGUGGAAGAAGUGGACAUUGAAGUACUUAUCACACAAAUGAGUAUAAAAGUACAAUAGCGAUAUCUGCCACAAAGAUGAGCAGACAGAGCUAGCGGGGCUUGCAGGAGGAGUUUUGAUCUUGCAGGGACAGGAAAGAGGAGUUAGCUCCUGCGGGGUGGGAUGGGGGGGUGGUGGUGAUAUAGACGUGGGGACAGAGUGGAAAACAACAAAAAUAUAAUUAUUUUAGUUCAAAGUUAUUGUGUCUUGAGUUGAAAGGCAGGGCAGUUAGCAACACAGUUCAGAUUUCAGUACUGCCCCCGAAAUCUGAACUGUGUUCAAAGUCUAAAACGUUUACCUUAGCAAAUUCCUCAUAAAACUCCAUUUGGAAGAGUCUCGAGAGCUAAUUUGUUAAGUAUACUUGCAAAAGGUAGAUGAGGAGACAGAUAAAAUCUUAUUACCUCUUUCAGAUGAGAGGCACUUGAGCCCUGCUCAGCUAUGAGAAUAAGAGAGGGGAAUUAAUUCGAAUUGAAUACACUUGUUCUCUUAUAGCUGUUGUUCCCCACCAGAACCAAAUGAGCGCAAGAUCUGACAAAGAAAAAAAAGGUUCAUCUUUUAUUCCCCCAAACACUUUCAUUUAAAUCAAGAGGAUGGGAUGUGGUUAUUGCUGUGUUUUUAGACAGAAUCAACGGUUUCUGUGUCUGAGAUGUUGCAUACACCCUCUCAGUCCCUCUAUCCUGAGAUGGAGUCACCUGAGGAUCCACAGCAAGUCCUAACCAGGGAUGGGUCUGGGUGAUUAAGGAAGGUUGGCUUCAGAACUGGGCCAGGGGCACUGCUUUGCUUUUGCUGUUUUGAUCAGCUCUCUGCCUGCAGGAGACAAGGAAAACCAAUGGGAACAGAUAGGGUCUCUCUCUCUGCCACCCAGGCCAGAGUGCAGUUGACGCAGGGCAGGGGAGCCCCGAAGUGGAGCAUAGUGUGUCCGGAACUGGUGGGUUCUUGGUCUCACUGACUUCAAGAAUGAAGCCGUGGACCCUCACGGUGAGUGUCACAGUUCUUAAAGGCGGCGUGUCUGGAGUUUGUUCCUUCUGAUGCUCGGAUGUGUUCAGAGUUUCUUCCUUCUGGUGGGUUUGUGGUCUCGCUGGCUUCAGGAGUGAAGCUGCAGACCUUCAAAGUGAGUGUUACAGCUCUUAAGGUGGCGCGUCUGGAGUUGUUUGUUCCUCCCAUUGGGUUCAUAGUCUCGGUGGCUUCAGGAGUGAAGCUGCAGACCUUCGAGGUGAGUGUUACAGCUCAUAAAGGCAAUGUGGACCCAAAGAGUGAGCAGCAGCAAGAUUUAUUGCAAAGAGCAAAAGACCAAAGCUUCCACAGUGUGGAAAGGGACCCCAGUGGGUUGCCACUGCUGGCUGGGGCAGCCUGCUUUUAUUCCCUUAUCUGGCCCCACCCACAUCCUGCUGAUUGGUCCAUUUUACAGAGAGCCGAUUGGUCUGUUUUACAGAGAGCUGAUUGGUCUGUUUUGACAGGGUGCUGAUUUGUGCAUUUACAAUCCCUGAGCUAGAUACAAAAGUUCUCCAAGUCCCUACUAGAUUAGCUAGACACAGAGUGUCGAUUGGUGCAUUCACAAACCCUGAGCUGGACACAGGGUGCUGAUUGAUGUAUUUACAAACCUUGAGCUAGAUACAGAGUGCCGAUUGGUGUAUUUACAAUCCCUUAGCUAGACAUAAAGCUUCUCAAAGUCCCCACCAGACUCAGGAGACCAGCUGGCUUCACCAAGUGGAUCCCACACGGGGGCCACAGGUGGAGCUGCCUGCCACUCCCACGCCCUGUGCUGGUACUCCUCAGCCCUUGGGUGGUUGAUGGGACUGGGCGCCCUGGAGCAGGGGGCGGUGCUCAUUGGGGAGGCUUGGCACUCAUCAGGGAGGCUCAGGCUGCGCAGGAGCCCACGGAGGGUUGGGGGGAGGCUCAGGCAUGGUGGGCUGCAUGUGCCGAGCCCUGCCCUGCAGGGAAGCAGCUAAGGCCCUGCGAGAAACUGAGCAAAGCAG